This 253-nucleotide ribosomal RNA is filed under the name uncultured bacterium. Its description in RNAcentral is "partial 16S ribosomal RNA". It matches the Rfam family "Bacterial small subunit ribosomal RNA", at positions 524 to 776 of the family's 1533-position model. The record is from RNAcentral.
UACAGAGGUCUCAAGCGUUGUUCGGAAUUACUGGGCGUAAAGCGCGCGUAGGCGGCUUUGUAAGUUAGAGGUGAAAGCCCGGAGCUCAACUCCGGAACUGCCUUUAAAACUGCAUCGCUUGAAUCCAGGAGAGGUGAGUGGAAUUCCGAGUGUAGAGGUGAAAUUCGUAGAUAUUCGGAAGAACACCAGUGGCGAAGGCGGCUCACUGGACUGGUAUUGACGCUGAGGUGCGAAAGCGUGGGGAGCAAACAGG